This 468-nucleotide ribosomal RNA is filed under the name uncultured bacterium. RNAcentral describes it as "partial 16S ribosomal RNA". It matches the Rfam family "Bacterial small subunit ribosomal RNA", at positions 28 to 507 of the family's 1533-position model. The record is from RNAcentral.
GACGAACGCUGGCGGCGUGCUUAACACAUGCAAGUCGAACGGAAAGGCCCUGCUUUUGUGGGGUGCUCGAGUGGCGAACGGGUGAGUAACACGUGAGUAACCUGCCCUUGACUUUGGGAUAACUUCAGGAAACUGGGGCUAAUACCGGAUAGGAGCUCCUGCUGCAUGGUGGGGGUUGGAAAGUUUCGGCGGUUGGGGAUGGACUCGCGGCUUAUCAGCGUGUUGGUGGGGUAGUGGCUUACCAAGGCUUGGACGGGUAGCCGGCCUGAGAGGGUGACCGGCCACAUUGGGACGGAGAUACGGCCCAGACUCAUACGGGAGGCAGCAGUGGGGAAUAGUGCACAAUGGGAGGAAGCCUGAUGCAGCAACGCCGCGUGCGGGAUGACGGCCUUCGGGUUGUAAACCGCUUUCGCCUGUGACGAAGCGUGAGUGACGGUAAUGGGUAAAGAAGCACCGGCUAACUACGUG